AUGUUCGGCGGCUCCAGGGACGACGCCGGCGGCGGCGGCGGGGACGUCCCGCACGAGAAGGUGGCCGCUGCCGCCGCGGCGGCGGCCGCCUCCGGGCACGCUACUAGGCGCGGAUUCAGCGUCCAGGUGCCCGUGCCGGUCGACCGGCCGGCGGCCGGGCCCGUGCUGGCCCCCUGCCCCGCUGGAGACGGCGGCGUCCAGGGCUUCCGGUGGUAUACAAGGAGGUUAAGGAUUGACGAAGAUGGCGACGUCGCCGACGAGUUCUUGGACGAGGUCCUCCCCGAAAGCUCGAACAACAACGACGCGAGCCCAGCUGGAAGGUUCCAGGUGAAAUACAACACGAGACCAACCGCUCUAGCGAUGAGGAAGCAAACGAUCGCCGUCGACGGCGACAUCCGCCAUUGCGUGGAGCACCAAGGGCAGCUCCAGUGGGUGUGA
Molecule: ribosomal RNA, 438 nt
Filed under: Triticum aestivum (bread wheat)
Lineage: Eukaryota; Viridiplantae; Streptophyta; Magnoliopsida; Poales; Poaceae
Description: partial small subunit ribosomal RNA
Source: RNAcentral